Molecule: ribosomal RNA, 490 nt
Filed under: uncultured bacterium
Lineage: Bacteria
Description: partial 16S ribosomal RNA
Rfam family: Bacterial small subunit ribosomal RNA
Source: RNAcentral
AUUGAACGCUGGCGGCAGGCCUAACACAUGCAAGUCGAACGGUAACAGGAAGCAGCUUGCUGCUUCGCUGACGAGUGGCGGACGGGUGAGUAAUGUCUGGGAAACUGCCUGAUGGAGGGGGAUAACUACUGGAAACGGUAGCUAAUACCGCAUAACGUCGCAAGACCAAAGAGGGGGACCUUAGGGCCUCUUGCCAUCGGAUGUGCCCAGAUGGGAUUAGCUAGUAGGUGGGGUAACGGCUCACCUAGGCGACGAUCCCUAGCUGGUCUGAGAGGAUGACCAGCCACACUGGAACUGAGACACGGUCCAGACUCCUACGGGAGGCAGCAGUGGGGAAUAUUGCACAAUGGGCGCAAGCCUGAUGCGGCCAUGCCGCGUGUAUGAAGAAGGCCUUCGGGUUGUAAAGUACUUUCAGCGGGGAGGAAGGGAGUAAAGUUAAUACCUUGGCUCAUUGACGUUACCCGCAGAAGAAGCACCGGCUAACUCCGUG